This 200-nucleotide unclassified non-coding RNA is filed under the name Ascomycota sp. Its description in RNAcentral is "partial internal transcribed spacer 2". Lineage: Eukaryota; Fungi; Ascomycota. The record is from RNAcentral.
UUAAGUUCAGCGGGUAUUCCUACCUGAUCCGAGGUCAACCUUGUAAGACUUGAAGUGCUUUAACGGCUGGUGCCACCCGCUAAGCGCCCCAGAGCGAUGGUGUAAAUGACUACGCUCAGGGUCUCAGCGGGCCCGCCACUUGCUUUCGGGGCUGCCAUGCGGCAAAGGCCCCAACGCCGGUCCCGUAGGGGCCCGAGGGU